This 777-nucleotide ribosomal RNA is filed under the name uncultured Neocallimastigales. RNAcentral's name for it is "partial large subunit ribosomal RNA". It matches the Rfam family "Eukaryotic large subunit ribosomal RNA", at positions 23 to 642 of the family's 3401-position model. The record is from RNAcentral. Lineage: Eukaryota; Fungi; Neocallimastigomycota; Neocallimastigomycetes; Neocallimastigales.
AGAGAGAGACAUGCGCGCAUAUCAAUAAGCGGAGGAAAAGAAACUAACAAGGAUUCCCUUAGUAACGGCGAGUGAAGCGGGAAGAGCUCAAAUUUGAAAUCUUCAAGGUUCUACCUUGACGAAUUGUAGUUUAUAGAAGUGUUUUCUGUUAGUGGAGUGGCAAAAGUUCUUUGGAAUAGGACAUCAUAGAGGGUGAGAAUCCCGUAUUUGGUCAUUCCUCCUAGCGUUGUGAUACACUUUCAACGAGUCGGAUUGUUUGGGAAUGCAGUCCAAAAUGGGUGGUAAAUUUCAUCUAAAGCUAAAUAUUGGCGAGAGACCGAUAGCGAACAAGUACCGUGAGGGAAAGAUGAAAAGAACUUUGAAAAGAGAGUUAAACAGUACGUGAAAUUGUCAAAAGGGAAGCGUUUGACACCAGUGUUAGUUUUUCCGAAAAUCAAUUACGAAUGUUUUAUUUUUGAGGAGUUAUGACUUCAUCGGCUUGCUCCUUUCUUUAUGAAACUUUCUUAAUGCACUUUUCGGUUAACAAGUCAACAUCAAUUUCUUUUGUUGUAAAAGGGUAUGAGGAAGGUGGCUUGCUUCUUCGGAUACAAGUGUUUAUAGCCUUGUGCCUCUGCAAUCGGAGAGAUUGAGGUCUGCAGCGUAGAUCCUUCGGGGUUAGAUACGUUUGUGCUAAGUUAUAGCUUUUCAUAGACAACUUGUUGACUAUGUUUAGUCUUGUAGCUUACUCGCUGACGCUAUUUUACCUACGCUUAGGAUGUUGAUAGUCACAGCGUGUAC